CUGGUCUCAGGUGCUGCUGCUUGUGAUCGGGAUCCCACAUCCUUGUUGAGUAAGAGCUCCAGCCUGACAUUUGGAAUCUGGGGACCUCACUCUUGUGAUGCCCUGUGACAUCAGGGCAGGUCAGACGUGGGGAGAGCUGGGUGGGUGGCCAUGGAGCCAGCUGACAACCAGUCAAGAAGUGACCACUGAGCCAGUAGCUCUUGCCAGUGGUCUCUCCUCCUCCUCCUCCUCCUCCUCCUCCUCUUCCUCUUUCUCCUCCUGAUCCUAGUAUUCAGUGUGCCACGUACUUGGUUGCUGGGAGCCAUUAGCCAAGUAGGUAUGACAAUUUCCUUGCCAGCGUACCCCAUGUUGCUGACAUGUUGCAGUGACAUUGAAUGUAGGUGACCUUGCUCAAGGACCAAGGCAGACCAGGGUGUUCCCGGUUUUAAGAUAAUCGUGUUUAGGGCGUUCCCAGUUUAGGUUCCAGGUUUAAGGUUUAAGAUUAUUCCUGCUGGGAAUAGGGCGUAUCCUGCUGCCUGAGUUCCCCUUGAGUUCUCACGGGAUUCAGACAGUAUAUUUUGGGAGAUAGAAGCCCAGUGGAGGAGGAUUUGGGCAGAGAACGUGGAUUUCCCCAGAACGUGAUUGUAGACGGCUGGUGUGAGUUCGGGAAUAAAGAGUUGCUGUUUGAGUCUACAAGCUGUGUGGUGGCUCGUGAUUGUGUGCCCAGCCAGACUGCGGCAUUUGUGCCCAGCCAGACUGCGGCAUUUGGCGUCCCGUGCGGGGAACUUCUGAAGCCUGGAGCCCUUAGAAGAGCCUUGCACAGAACAGACCUCAAGAAGGAAGUUUUGAACGGAAUCGAGUCCAGUGGCACAGGCACGAGAGGUCCGUGAACUAUGAAGCAGGACACAAUACAAGCCAAAGGAAAACCAUGGCGUUCUGACAAUAUCCUUCUCCCCUUCCAAAAGCGAUUUUGAGGACAAGAUCACAGCCGUGCUGUUUCCCAUCUCCCCAGAUGGCAGUGAGUGGACCUGGAGGGGACCCCUGGGCCGCCUGCAUUAAGUCCAGCUCUGCGUUUGCUGGGUGGGGCGCGUCCUCAUGCUCUUCAUCAUCUGUUCGGUGGCAGAACCCUUUGCCAGUCCCCUCGAGGCUCCUGAGAGGCCAAGGCGAGGACAACCUCUCUGUGCACUGUCACAGGCUGGGAAUGCCUCCUCCGUGGAACUCCCAGCAUCCCCCAGGGCUGCUCCCAGGCCCAUCCGUUCCAGCAGCGUUGAUGCUUUGGCGGGGGCUGUGUGGACCCCCACCCCUCAAACCAAUUCCCAACUGUAGGAACUGCCUCUAGCGCAGGCACCGAGCCCUCCCAGGCAACGGAGCAGUCAGUGCUCGCAGAUGACACCUCUUCCCUCGGGCUCCUGCACUCGGGCCACUACCCACCUGCCCGGCUCACCCCAGGGCUAGAAGUGGACAACAGAGGGGCAGCCCCUGUGCCCCAGAGCCCACUGAAAUCAUUCAAACUGUUCCAAAAGCUCAGUCCUUGUCCCCAAUGCCAAUCUAAUAACAAGGAUGAGGUUUUGAGAAAAAGGGAAAAGAAGGUUUAUUGCUUUGCUAGCAGAAGAGAAGCACAGGGGACUCCUGUCCCGGAGGCUGUGAUUCUGCCAUCAGGGAGAACCAGGGGCAUUUACAGAGGUGAUCAGAGAAAAUGAGAUUAGGGAGGAGAGAUCAGCAAGGAGAAGAUCAGGGAGGAGGAGGUUGGGAAAAAGGAAAAAAAAAAAAAAACAUGUAAGUUUAAGCCACAAGGGAGAUAGUCGAAGCAUCAAGUGAAGCCCUGUUGUAGCCCUGCAUGCUCCAUGGGUCCCCUUCUCUUGGGAAAUAUAACAAACUACCCCUUCAAUGGCAAUCAUCUUUUUAUCUGUUGCCUGCAUCUUACUUGAAUAAUAAAAAAAUCUACACUUAAA
Molecule: long non-coding RNA, 1931 nt
Organism: Marmota monax (woodchuck)
Lineage: Eukaryota; Metazoa; Chordata; Mammalia; Rodentia; Sciuridae
Exons: 3
Source: RefSeq, a predicted model, not a curated record